UCCCUCGUCUAAUAAUCUCCCUUCUUCUCGGGGACACAGUCCCUUUUGAGAAAACCGAGUGUCCGAAGCAACUUUUCGCCGCCUUGAAUACUGCAGCAUGGAAUAACAAUAUAGGAUUUCGGUUCUAUUAUUUUGUUGGUUCCUUCUGUAGGACUGAAAUAAUGAUUAAUAGGGACAGUCGGGGGCAUUCGUAAAGU
RNAcentral lists this ribosomal RNA (197 nucleotides) under Sarcocystis moulei. RNAcentral's name for it is "partial small subunit ribosomal RNA". The record is from RNAcentral. Lineage: Eukaryota; Apicomplexa; Conoidasida; Eucoccidiorida; Sarcocystidae.